CCCUUAGAUGUCCUGGGCCGCACGCGCGCUACACUGAGUGUCUGAGAUACGAGUCUGCCUGGUCCGGCAAGGUCUAGGUAAUCGCUAAAAGACACAUCAUGCUUGGGAUAGAUUAUUGCAGAUAUUAAUCUUGAACGAGGAAUUCCUAGUAAGCGCAAGUCAACAGCUUGCGUUGAUUACGUCCCUGCCCUUUGUACACACCGCCCGUCGCUACUACUGAUUGGAUGUUUAAGCGAGGUUCUCGAACUGCUAGCGACUUAGCUUCGGUGAGGUCGCAGUGUGGGAAGUGAACCGAGCUUUGGUGUCUAGAGGAAGUAAAAGUCGUAACA
Molecule: ribosomal RNA, 329 nt
Filed under: uncultured eukaryote
Lineage: Eukaryota
Description: partial 18S ribosomal RNA
Rfam family: Eukaryotic small subunit ribosomal RNA
Source: RNAcentral